AGUGAACGCUGGCGGUAGGCCUAACACAUGCAAGUCGAACGGCAGCACAGUAAGAGCUUGCUCUUACGGGUGGCGAGUGGCGGACGGGUGAGGAAUACAUCGGAAUCUACUUUUUCGUGGGGGAUAACGUAGGGAAACUUACGCUAAUACCGCAUACGACCUACGGGUGAGAGCAGGGGAUCUUCGGACCUUGCGCGAUUGAAUGAGCCGAUGUCGGAUUAGCUAGUUGGCGGGGUAAAGGCCCACCAAGGCGACGAUCCGUAGCUGGUCUGAGAGGAUGAUCAGCCACACUGGAACUGAGACACGGUCCAGACUCCUACGGGAGGCAGCAGUGGGGAAUAUUGGACAAUGGGCGCAAGCCUGAUCCAGCCAUACCGCGUGGGUGAAGAAGGCCUUCGGGUUGUAAAGCCCUUUUGUUGGGAAAGAAAAGCAGCAGGUUAACACCCCGCUGUUCUGACGGUACCCAAAGAAUAAGCACCGGCUAACUUCGUG
This 492-nucleotide ribosomal RNA is filed under the name uncultured bacterium. RNAcentral describes it as "partial 16S ribosomal RNA". It matches the Rfam family "Bacterial small subunit ribosomal RNA", at positions 29 to 507 of the family's 1533-position model. The record is from RNAcentral.